This 503-nucleotide ribosomal RNA is filed under the name uncultured bacterium. RNAcentral describes it as "partial 16S ribosomal RNA". It matches the Rfam family "Bacterial small subunit ribosomal RNA", at positions 30 to 523 of the family's 1533-position model. The record is from RNAcentral.
AUUGAACGCUGGCGGCAGGCUUAACACAUGCAAGUCGAGCGGAGUGAUGGUGCUUGCACUAUCACUUAGCGGCGGACGGGUGAGUAAUGCUUAGGAAUCUGCCUAUUAGUGGGGGACAACAUCUCGAAAGGGAUGCUAAUACCGCAUACGUCCUACGGGAGAAAGCAGGGGAUCACUUGUGACCUUGCGCUAAUAGAUGAGCCUAAGUCGGAUUAGCUAGUUGGUGGGGUAAAGGCCUACCAAGGCGACGAUCUGUAGCGGGUCUGAGAGGAUGAUCCGCCACACUGGGACUGAGCCCCGGCCCAGACUCCUACGGGAGGCAGCAGUGGGGAAUAUCGGACAAUGGGGGGAACCCUGAUCCAGCCAUGCCGCGUGUGUGAAGAAGGCCUUAUGGUUGUAAAGCACUUCAAGCGAGGAGGAGGCUCUUUUGGUUAAUACCCAAGAUGAGUGGACGUUACUCGCAGAAUAAGCACCGGCUAACUCUGUGCCAGCAGCCGCUGUAA